This 1462-nucleotide ribosomal RNA is filed under the name Klebsiella aerogenes. RNAcentral's name for it is "bacterial SSU rRNA". It matches the Rfam family "Bacterial small subunit ribosomal RNA". The record is from RNAcentral. Lineage: Bacteria; Pseudomonadati; Pseudomonadota; Gammaproteobacteria; Enterobacterales; Enterobacteriaceae.
AUUGAACGCUGGCGGCAGGCCUAACACAUGCAAGUCGAGCGGUAACACAGAGAGCUUGCUCUCGGGUGACGAGCGGCGGACGGGUGAGUAAUGUCUGGGAAACUGCCUGAUGGAGGGGGAUAACUACUGGAAACGGUAGCUAAUACCGCAUAACGUCGCAAGACCAAAGUGGGGGACCUUCGGGCCUCAUGCCAUCAGAUGUGCCCAGAUGGGAUUAGCUAGUAGGUGGGGUAAUGGCUCACCUAGGCGACGAUCCCUAGCUGGUCUGAGAGGAUGACCAGCCACACUGGAACUGAGACACGGUCCAGACUCCUACGGGAGGCAGCAGUGGGGAAUAUUGCACAAUGGGCGCAAGCCUGAUGCAGCCAUGCCGCGUGUAUGAAGAAGGCCUUCGGGUUGUAAAGUACUUUCAGCGAGGAGGAAGGCAUUAAGGUUAAUAACCUUGGUGAUUGACGUUACUCGCAGAAGAAGCACCGGCUAACUCCGUGCCAGCAGCCGCGGUAAUACGGAGGGUGCAAGCGUUAAUCGGAAUUACUGGGCGUAAAGCGCACGCAGGCGGUCUGUCAAGUCGGAUGUGAAAUCCCCGGGCUCAACCUGGGAACUGCAUUCGAAACUGGCAGGCUAGAGUCUUGUAGAGGGGGGUAGAAUUCCAGGUGUAGCGGUGAAAUGCGUAGAGAUCUGGAGGAAUACCGGUGGCGAAGGCGGCCCCCUGGACAAAGACUGACGCUCAGGUGCGAAAGCGUGGGGAGCAAACAGGAUUAGAUACCCUGGUAGUCCACGCCGUAAACGAUGUCGACUUGGAGGUUGUGCCCUUGAGGCGUGGCUUCCGGAGCUAACGCGUUAAGUCGACCGCCUGGGGAGUACGGCCGCAAGGUUAAAACUCAAAUGAAUUGACGGGGGCCCGCACAAGCGGUGGAGCAUGUGGUUUAAUUCGAUGCAACGCGAAGAACCUUACCUACUCUUGACAUCCAGAGAACUUAGCAGAGAUGCUUUGGUGCCUUCGGGAACUCUGAGACAGGUGCUGCAUGGCUGUCGUCAGCUCGUGUUGUGAAAUGUUGGGUUAAGUCCCGCAACGAGCGCAACCCUUAUCCUUUGUUGCCAGCGAUUCGGUCGGGAACUCAAAGGAGACUGCCAGUGAUAAACUGGAGGAAGGUGGGGAUGACGUCAAGUCAUCAUGGCCCUUACGAGUAGGGCUACACACGUGCUACAAUGGCAUAUACAAAGAGAAGCGACCUCGCGAGAGCAAGCGGACCUCAUAAAGUAUGUCGUAGUCCGGAUUGGAGUCUGCAACUCGACUCCAUGAAGUCGGAAUCGCUAGUAAUCGUAGAUCAGAAUGCUACGGUGAAUACGUUCCCGGGCCUUGUACACACCGCCCGUCACACCAUGGGAGUGGGUUGCAAAAGAAGUAGGUAGCUUAACCUUCGGGAGGGCGCUUACCACUUUGUGAUUCAUGACUGGGGUG